This 347-nucleotide ribosomal RNA is filed under the name uncultured bacterium. RNAcentral describes it as "partial 16S ribosomal RNA". It matches the Rfam family "Bacterial small subunit ribosomal RNA", at positions 338 to 699 of the family's 1533-position model. The record is from RNAcentral.
CCUACGGGUGGCUGCAGUGGGGAAUAUUGGGCAAUGGACGAAACUCUGACCCAGCAACGCCGCGUGAAUGAUGAAGGUCUUCGGAUUGUAAAGCUCUUUUUUUAGGGAAGAAGACAGUGACGGUACCUUAGGAAUAAGCCUCGGCUAACGACGUGCCAGCAGCCGCGGUAAUACGUAGGAGGCGAGCGUUAUCCGGAAUGACUGGGCGUAAAGGGUGCGUAGGUGGUUUGGCAAGUUAGUAGCGUAACUCCAAGGCUCAACCUUGGAACUAGUACUAAGACUGUUGGACUUGAGUGCAGGAGGGGCAAGCGGAAUUCCUAGUGUAGCGGUGGAAUGCGUAGAUAUUA